UAUGAACAUUUUCUGCUUCUGCACUUUAGAAAGUUUCAUUUCUGAUUUCAUGUAAAUAUUUAUGAAUUGAUUUUACAGUUGUGUUGGUAAAUUUCCAUCCCCCUUGUGAAAUGUUCAUGAUAAAAAUCUGUCUUUUAUUCAGUGAUAGUGGUCGAUGAAUCCAUUUAUUAUCAAACAUUGUUAUUAUUACCAAACUUGAACUUAUGUUUGCAGAGGAGUGAUGAAGAGUGAAGCAUGUUGUGGAUCUCUGUUCAGUUCAGACUGAUGAAAGAUGGAUGCAGCAUGUUGAGUUCAUCAGCCUGAACCAAGUUAACCCAAGUUACCUCCUGACCUCAGUCUUUAGUUACCUGUGAAGGCGUGAGGACCACAGACAGGACGACGCCAUCGUCCUCCUCCACGGCGUCAGGUGACGCCACAAACACGGGCUCUGACGGGAAGAAACCCUUCAGCUUCAUGAAGUCUCACCUGAAAGUGUCCCAGCUGUCUCCAGUGUCCCAGCUGUCUUCAGUGUCCCAGCUGUCUUCAGUGUCCCAGCUGUCCUUAGUGUCCCAGCUGUCUUCAGUGUCCCAGCUGUCUUCAGAGUCCCAGCUGUCUUCAGUGAGGUCAAACAUGCUGAGCUCUCUGCGUCACAGCAGGUGACUGUGCAGGUGAGGUCAUGUGACGCAGCACCUGGAGGUGUUUGCAUGUCCGACCAUCUCACCUGCUGCUCCUGCAGGCUUCACGCUGGGAACCACACAUGCAGGUCUGUGAUGUCAUGAUGAAGCACGACGUUAGCGCCCUCGUGUGGCGAGGAUGACGAUGGCUUGAAGAACUGAAGUGUUGGAAGCAGCAGGUGGAGGGAGGCGUGAUACUGCAGCACCCAUUUUAACCACUAGGUGUCACUGACACAAGCAACACUACAUGCAGACAGUUUCUAACAUGCUCAGGUAACUGACGAGGCUCAUCCUGCACAGGUCUGCUCUGUGCUCUGCAGGUCUGCUGUUCACAGACAAACAUUUUCCAUCGGUGGUUUGACCCACUUCAAUAUUCAUUUCUGUUUUUAAAUGACCUGCUUCAUAAAAACCAGUUUAACUUGUUGUGGAACUUGUUUGCAGCUGACUCGUGGUCUAAACCUCGACCUGACCUCUGAAACUCAACGUUAUGUGAAACACUGCUGAGAAUCCUGCAGAGUCCACUUUAACCCAGACAGCAGCACCCAGAGUCCACUUUGACCCAGACAGCAGCACCCAGAGUCCACUUUGACCCAGACCGAGACAAGACGGAGUAAAACUGCAGUCGAUUCAGAGACGAGACAGUCUCGAGGACUACAACAUCUGUACUGAACUCACCUGUUCAGGUUAUAUUAAGGUUUAAAGUUAUGCAGGAUUAAGAGCGUGGACGCUUUGAUUGACAGGUGGGUGUGGCUUCAUUCAGCACCGCCUCAGGUCCAGUGAUGAUCCGUCUUUGCUGAUGUUUAGAUUCUCCAGGAGGAGGUGG
Molecule: long non-coding RNA, 1476 nt
Organism: Larimichthys crocea (large yellow croaker)
Lineage: Eukaryota; Metazoa; Chordata; Actinopteri; Sciaenidae
Exons: 3
Source: RefSeq, a predicted model, not a curated record